AUGAACGCUGGCGGCGUGCCUAAUACAUGCAAGUCGAGCGAACGGACGAGAAGCUUGCUUUUCUGAUGUUAGCGGCGGACGGGUGAGUAACACGUGGAUAACCUACCUAUAAGACUGGGAUAACUUCGGGAAACCGGAGCUAAUACCGGAUAAUAUUUUGAACCGCAUGGUUCAAAAGUGAAAGACGGUCUUGCUGUCACUUAUAGAUGGAUCCGCGCUGCAUUAGCUAGUUGGUAAGGUAACGGCUUACCAAGGCAACGAUGCAUAGCCGACCUGAGAGGGUGAUCGGCCACACUGGAACUGAGACACGGUCCAGACUCCUACGGGAGGCAGCAGUAGGGAAUCUUCCGCAAUGGGCGAAAGCCUGACGGAGCAACGCCGCGUGAGUGAUGAAGGUCUUCGGAUCGUAAAACUCUGUUAUUAGGGAAGAACAUAUGUGUAAGUAACUGUGCACAUCUUGACGGUACCGAAGCAGAAAGCCACGGCUAACUACGU
This 495-nucleotide ribosomal RNA is filed under the name uncultured bacterium. RNAcentral's name for it is "partial 16S ribosomal RNA". It matches the Rfam family "Bacterial small subunit ribosomal RNA", at positions 29 to 506 of the family's 1533-position model. The record is from RNAcentral.